CCCAGUAGAACAAGGCACCCGGCGAGAGAAACCGAUUUUAUCUGCUUUGACCAUCGGCCGCGUUCUUUAACAACCCAGCCCCGGCGCUGGAACCUUGCCCACCUCCUCCGGGGUCUGCUCCGACCCCCGCCCCCGGGCACCUCCGAGGCACCGGCGGGCGCCGGCUGCAGCAGAGCGUGGAGGGAAACCGGGAGCCUCUGGCACCGGCGCUGCCACUCUUCGCUCCCAUUUUCUUCGAGAUGCCACGGAGCCACCCGGCGAUCGAUUGAUACCUCGGCCCGGGGGAGAAAGGGGGGGGUGGAACCAGCUGUUGCAAAAGGACAUGGUAAAUCUAAUAGGGACUACUGUCAAUAGAGAAAUGACAGAGAAGAAGAAUUGGCUUCUUAAAGUCUGCUGAACUAACACUCAUCAUGCAGCCGCGGACACGUAUUCUCAAUCGGAGCCUGGUAUCUGCCCGAAGCCCCAGCGCAUCCAUCCGGGGGCUGCGAAAGGCACCGAAAUAUCGCAGCCCGACCCUGGGAAAUAUAGAGAUGGCGGAGAAUUUCCCCGUACAACUUGGUCACCGAGGCCAACCUAAAGGUGUGCGCGGACAUACGUGUGCUUUGCAGCCCCCACCUGAUGGCUCUCCCCGUCACCCCACCCUCCCCGGACCCGCAGCACGUCGCAGGCCACGCUCUCCCGUCGCCGUGUCCUCUGCCGGGAUCCAGAAGCACGGGCACAGCCGACUCCUACCCCGGCGCUUCUCCGGAGCAGCAGGGGUGUUGUGAACACUUAUUAAACCCAGAUGAUCUGAGAGUUGGGGCAUACGGAAAAGAUUUUCAAUUAAAGCCGAGAGCAGCCAGCUUCGCGUCGCAGGUGUAAACAAUAUUUGUGCAGCUCUCGCUUCUCAUCCCGGAGCGGAUCCUUCCCCUCGCUGCAUCCCGCAGGGAGGAGAAGGGAAGGGGCCGCUUCUCUCUCCGGGCCCCACUCGCACCUCGCCGGGCUCCCCACAUCGCUCAGUGCACACCCGGGCGGGUCUGUGCCCUGCAGCCCCCGGCCCCGAAUCUCCUCCCCUCCGCUCACCUGUUGCUGCAGCCGCUUCCGUAAGGGCAGGGACUAAAAGGAAAAUUCAAUAGCUCCGGUCUAGGAAAGCGGCGGCGGUGUAAAGUGUUGCGGUGACACGGGAGGUGGGUUGGGACGGCACGCGGGGACAGUGGGCAUCACCGCAGGCUGCUGGGUACGCGCUCCCGCUUGGAAGAAGUGCUUUCUCACAACUUUGAUGCCCGAUUUAGGGGGAUCUGGGAGCUCAAAUGCAGCUGGGAACACGUUUCCCAGUUCGCCGAGAGCGUUCGGGUUCACGAAGCACCUCGGGGGCCGUGGGAGCGGCCCCCCGAACAGCCCCUGCCUCGUUAGCGAGACCGGGCACGGUCGCUUUGGAUGAUCCGGUUUAAAUAACGGAGAAAGCAUUCACGUAUGCUUAAUCCACGCUUUCUUUAAAUACCAUUAGGACAAUUGUCUCGAUCCGAGGUCAGGAAAAAUUCCGUUCGGUGGAGACAAGAGGCCGAGAGGGUGGCAGGAGAAUGAGGGGCUUUGGGAGCGAAUCGGUGGGAGCGCCGUGCGGGCAGCUCACCUCCUGCAAAGCACGGGAGCGGUUGGUGCCCGCCGCUCGCGGAGCCGCUCG
This 1660-nucleotide long non-coding RNA is filed under the name Gallus gallus (chicken). RNAcentral describes it as "lncRNA (ENSGALG00010000566.1)". Lineage: Eukaryota; Metazoa; Chordata; Aves; Galliformes; Phasianidae. The record is from RNAcentral.